RNAcentral lists this long non-coding RNA (612 nucleotides) under Equus caballus (horse). Its description in RNAcentral is "lncRNA (ENSECAG00000054186.1)". The record is from RNAcentral. Lineage: Eukaryota; Metazoa; Chordata; Mammalia; Perissodactyla; Equidae.
CUCUGAUAUGAGAUUUUUAAAAGACUUUUCCUUUGGACGCCAUGAUUGCGAUGCUCACAUGAUGAAGCCUCGGCCUUCUUUGUUCACAGGAAUUACAGAUUCUUUCUUAAUAGCUAAUAUGCCAACCUACUGAAUUCAUCACUUAUGCGAAAUAAGUGCAAUUUAAGCAUUUAAGGAGAACAAUACUCGCCAAGUGCUGAUAAGAGAUUAAAGCAUUUACCCAAAAGUAAUGUCAGCAGAAAUGAAAUGUCUUGACUGAGGUGACAAACGUCUGCAGUGGAGUAAGAAUUACUUAAGACACUCACCUUGCACAACUCUGCGAACUCCGAGACAAAGUUGGCACCUGGGAAGGCCAUGUGAGGACACAGUGAGAAGGCCUUGUCUACAAGCCAGGAAGAGUGGCCUCACCAGAAACCGGGUCAGCCAGCACCUUAAUUGUGGACAUCCCAGCCUCUAUAACUGAGAAAAUACAUUUCUGCUGUUUAAGCAGCCUAGUCUACGGUAUUUGUUACGGCAGAUGGUGUCUGUCAUGGCAGUCUGAGCAGAUGAAGAUAAUGUGUUAUGGAAUAUUUUAGAUGACAUAGGAGUUAAAGUUAUAAUAAACCCUUUGCC